GUCUUAAUGAUAAUAAUUUUAAGUCGAUCUGCCCAAUGAUGGAAUUUAAUGGCUGCAGUAUAAUUAACUGUACAAAGGUAGCAUAAUCAAUUGUUUUUUAAUUGGAAACUAGAAUGAAAGAAUUAAUGAGAUAUAUACUGUCUCAUAUAUAUUAUAUGAAUUUAUAUUUUUAGUAAAAAUACUAAAAUGAUUUUAUGGGACGAUAAGACCCUAUAGAAUUUUAUAUUAAGGUUUAAAUUUAAUAAAUUUUAUAUUUUAAUAUUUAAUUGGGAGGAUUGGUAAAUUUAAUUAACUUUAUUUAAAAAUUAAACUUUAAUUAAAGAAUAUUUAAUGAUUUUGUAUUAUUGAUUAUAAGAAAAAAUUACCUUAGGGAUAACAGCGUAAUAUCUUUUUAAAGGUCAUAUUUAAAAAGGUGAUUGCGACCUCGAUGUUGAAUUAAGAUAAAUUUUAAAUGCAGAAGUUUAAUAAUUAAGUCUGUUCGACUUUUAAAAUCUUACAUGAUUUGAGUUCAAAUCGACGUGAGU
Molecule: ribosomal RNA, 524 nt
Filed under: Bombus handlirschi
Lineage: Eukaryota; Metazoa; Arthropoda; Insecta; Hymenoptera; Apidae
Description: partial 16S ribosomal RNA
Rfam family: Bacterial large subunit ribosomal RNA (bases 372-524)
Source: RNAcentral